GGUCAAAAAAUAACACCGUCCGAUCCCUAGUCGGCAUAGUUUAUGGUUAAGACUACGACGGUAUCUGAUCGUCUUCGAUCCCCUAACUUUCGUUCCUGAUUAAUGAAAACAUCCUUGGCAAAUGCUUUCGCAGUAGUUAGUCUUCAAUAAAUCCAAGAAUUUCACCUCUGACAAUUGAAUACUGAUGCCCCCGACUGUCCCUAUUAAUCAUUACGGCGGUCCUAGAAACCAACAAAAUAGAACCACACGUCCUAUUCUAUUAUUCCAUGCUAAUGUAUUCGAGCAUAGGCCUGCCUGGAGCACUCUAAUUUUUUCACAGUAAAAGUCCUGUUUCCCCGCCACACCCAGUGAAGGGCAUGGGGUUCCACAGAGGGAAAGGCCCGGCCGGACCAGUACACGCGGUGAGGCGGACCGGCCAGCCAGGCCCAAGGUUCAACUACGAGCUUUUUAACCACAACAACUUUAAUAUACGCUAUUGGAGCUGGAAUUACCGCGGCUGCUGGCACCAGACUUGCCCUCCAAUUGUUCCUCGUUAAGGGAUUUAAAUUGUACUCAUUCCAAUUACAAGACCCAAAAGAGCCCUGUAUCAGUAUUUAUUGUCACUACCUCCCCGUGUCGGGAUUGGGUAAUUUGCGCGCCUGCUGCCUUCCUUGGAUGUAGUAGCCGUUUCUCAGGCUCCUUCUC
This 684-nucleotide ribosomal RNA is filed under the name fungal sp. K18. RNAcentral's name for it is "partial 18S rRNA". Lineage: Eukaryota; Fungi. The record is from RNAcentral. RNAcentral also lists the same sequence under 1 other name.